CGCGGCCUAUCAGCUUGUUGGUGGGGUAAUGGCCUACCAAGGCGUCGACGGGUAGCAGGCCUGAGAGGGUGUACGGCCACAUUGGGACUGAGAUACGGCCCAGACUCCUACGGGAGGCAGCAGUGGGGAAUAUUGCACAAUGGGCGCAAGCCUGAUGCAGCGACGCCGCGUGAGGGAUGACGGCCUUCGGGUUGUAAACCUCUUUCAGCAGGGACGAAGCGCAAGUGACGGUACCUGCAGAAGAAGCACCGGCUAACUACGUGCCAGCAGCCGCGGUAAUACGUAGGGUGCGAGCGUUGUCCGGAAUUAUUGGGCGUAAAGAGCUCGUAGGCGGUUUGUCGCGUCGGCCGUGAAAACUUGGGGCUUAACCCCGAGCCUGCGGUCGAUACGGGCAGACCUGAGUUCGGCAGGGGAGACUGGAAUUCCUGGUGUAGCGGUGAAAUGCGCAGAUAUCAGGAGGAACACCGGUGGCGAAGGCGGUUCUCUGGGCAUUACCUGACGCUGAGGAGCGAAAGCAUGGGGAGCGAACAGGAUUAGAUACCCUGGUGGUCCAUGCCGUAAACGUUGGGCGCUAGGUGUGGGGACCUCCCACGGUCUCCGUGCCGCAGCUAACGCAUUAAGCGCCCCGCCUGGGGAGUACGG
This 642-nucleotide ribosomal RNA is filed under the name uncultured Actinomycetes bacterium. RNAcentral describes it as "bacterial SSU rRNA". It matches the Rfam family "Bacterial small subunit ribosomal RNA", at positions 232 to 885 of the family's 1533-position model. The record is from RNAcentral. Lineage: Bacteria; Bacillati; Actinomycetota; Actinomycetes.